This 1541-nucleotide ribosomal RNA is filed under the name metagenome. Its description in RNAcentral is "bacterial LSU rRNA". It matches the Rfam family "Bacterial large subunit ribosomal RNA", at positions 1406 to 2925 of the family's 2925-position model. The record is from RNAcentral.
AAGGCGUAGUCGAUGGGAAACAGGUUAAUAUUCCUGUACUUGGUGUUACUGCGAAGGGGGGACGGAGAAGGCUAUGUUGGCCGGGCGACGGUUGUCCCGGUUUAAGCGUGUAGGCUGGUUUUCCAGGCAAAUCCGGAAAAUCAAGGCUGAGGCGUGAUGACGAGGCACUACGGUGCUGAAGCAACAAAUGCCCUGCUUCCAGGAAAAGCCUCUAAGCAUCAGGUAACAUCAAAUCGUACCCCAAACCGACACAGGUGGUCAGGUAGAGAAUACCAAGGCGCUUGAGAGAACUCGGGUGAAGGAACUAGGCAAAAUGGUGCCGUAACUUCGGGAGAAGGCACGCUGAUAUGUAGGUGAAGCGACUUGCUCGUGGAGCUGAAAUCAGUCGAAGAUACCAGCUGGCUGCAACUGUUUAUUAAAAACACAGCACUGUGCAAACACGAAAGUGGACGUAUACGGUGUGACGCCUCCCCGGUGCCGGGAGGUUAAUUGAUGGGGUUAGCCGCAAGGCGAAGCUCUUGAUCGAAGCCCCGGUAAACGGCGGCCGUAACAAUAGCGGUCCUAAGGUAGCGAAAUUCCUUGUCGGGUAAGUUCCGACCUGCACGAAUGGCGUAAUGAUGGCCAGGCUGUCUCCACCCGAGACUCAGUGAAAUUGAACUCGCUGUGAAGAUGCAGUGUACCCGCGGCAAGACGGAAAGACCCCGUGAACCUUUACUAUAGCUUGACACUGAACAUUGAGCCUUGAUGUGUAGGAUAGGUGGGAGGCUUUGAAGUGUGGACGCCAGUCUGCAUGGAGCCGACCUUGAAAUACCACCCUUUAAUGUUUGAUGUUCUAACGUUGACCCGUAAUCCGGGUUGCGGACAGUGUCUGGUGGGUAGUUUGACUGGGGCGGUCUCCUCCUAAAGAGUAACGGAGGAGCACGAAGGUUGGCUAAUCCUGGUCGGACAUCAGGAGGUUAGUGCAAUGGCAUAAGCCAGCUUGACUGCGAGCGUGACGGCGCGAGCAGGUGCGAAAGCAGGUCAUAGUGAUCCGGUGGUUCUGAAUGGAAGGGCCAUCGCUCAACGGAUAAAAGGUACUCCGGGGAUAACAGGCUGAUACCGCCCAAGAGUUCAUAUCGACGGCGGUGUUUGGCACCUCGAUGUCGGCUCAUCACAUCCUGGGGCUGAAGUAGGUCCCAAGGGUAUGGCUGUUCGCCAUUUAAAGUGGUACGCGAGCUGGGUUUAGAACGUCGUGAGACAGUUCGGUCCCUAUCUGCCGUGGGCGCUGGAGAACUGAGGGGGGCUGCUCCUAGUACGAGAGGACCGGAGUGGACGCAUCACUGGUGUUCGGGUUGUCAUGCCAAUGGCACUGCCCGGUAGCUAAAUGCGGAAGAGAUAAGUGCUGAAAGCAUCUAAGCACGAAACUUGCCCCGAGAUGAGUUCUCCCUGACUCCUUGAGAGUCCUGAAGGAACGUUGAAGACGACGACGUUGAUAGGCCGGGUGUGUAAGCGCAGCGAUGCGUUGAGCUAACCGGUACUAAUGAACCGUGAGGCUUAACCUU